Molecule: non-coding RNA, 491 nt
Organism: Cinara cedri
Lineage: Eukaryota; Metazoa; Arthropoda; Insecta; Hemiptera; Aphididae
Source: the annotation of a GenBank genome assembly
CUUUGGGAUCUAAAUUUUUAUAUUUUCAAGAUAUGGGAUGUGCAUUUUAAUUAGUCUAUUUAAGUUACAUAAAUUUAAUAUUAUUUCGAUAUAAUGAUAGAUAUUUUAAAAUAACAUAUAAUUAGGAAGGGAAAAUUUUCGAAAUGCUCUAACUGAUUCAAUAAAAAUUAGCAAAAUAUGAAACAAAGAACAAUGAUAUUUUUGUUCUACAAACUAAAAAUCGAUUUUUGGGUAGUUUAAUUUUGGGUACAUUUGAGUUUGAAUAUCUCGGCGAAAAAUGUUUGUUUCUGAAUUCUGUUUUCACCUACUACUGAACCUUAGACGAUCUUUUAGAAUACGUGUUUAAAUUUUGUGUAAAGGGAUUAUUAAGGGAUUUUAGAUUUUACUAGAUCGACUAACUUCAAAUUUUAUAUAUACCUUCAAAAUACAAUUUUUGAUAAUAUACAGAAUUUCGGUUAAAUUCCAAAAGAUAGAAAUAAAUUUACUAACAA